Long non-coding RNA from Trifolium pratense (red clover), 1753 nucleotides. RefSeq lists it as uncharacterized. The record is from RefSeq and is a predicted model, not a curated record. The transcript is spliced from 9 exons. NCBI's taxonomy places the organism in Eukaryota, Viridiplantae, Streptophyta, Magnoliopsida, Fabales, Fabaceae.
CUAACUACACAAAUUGAAUACAGCUAUAAGGAAAUUUUUGCCAUGUGUCAAUCACACAGGGCUGCAGACGAAAUCCUAGCUGGACAAAAUGACAAAAAGUUUACUUCUUCUGGCACCAUUUUGAAUCCUUUUUUCCCUCCUUCAAGUUCCUUACAAAUGGGCCAAAAAACAUCAGUCCAUUGCUGCUUGGCCCAACAUAACCCAGAUGGUUUAUUGCAUUUACUUGAGGCCAAAAAAACAAAAGAACUUCAUGCUUCAGAAGGAGCUUGACCCGUCCCUUUCAUCUGUCUCUCUCAAGCCAAAUAUUGCAGAGAUGAUGCUGCUAAUACUGUUGUUUUCUGAAUCAGUUUCAAAAUUCAAAAUUCAAUUUCUCCCACUCUUUUUCAAUAUCAUGAGUCACUUUCUUUCUUAGUUUUCAAUUCUUCUCUCUUCAGCUUUCUCUCUUUCUCUCCCUCUUCUUUCAGUUUCCUUGAAGCUCCUCACGCCUCCUUCACAUAAAGGGAAAAGAGCAUGAUCGAUUGAAUCACAAAUUAGAGUCGUACCCUCCGACCUGUUUGAAGAAACGGUUUCAAGAACCAUCAAACGACAUCGUGUGGUGUUUUCUUCAGCUUCUUAAAGUAGAAAGGUUCACAAAUUAGGGUUUGAUUGGAGCUUCCCAAACAGCAAGACUUUAUAUAAGCCACUACUUUGCAGUUGAAUAAAAUCAGAACAUUGCCUUCUUUUUCAUUCAUCAAUUUCAUCAAAUCGUUGGUGCUGUUAAGAGUUAUUGAUGGAUUUGGUGGUAGAUCUAUGUUUUCUCUCAUUCAACUCAUGGCUUUGGAGUAUUGUUUUUCACUGAGCUAUGUAGAAACUUGAAAAUGCAUAACACACACAGUGGAAUACUAGAGCAAAUGCAUUUCUCUUUCUUCUAACCAAGUAUUUCUUUCAAGAGGUUUUGAGUGAAAAUGCAGAACACAAUGGCUUUGGAGUAUUGUUUUUCACGAUGGCAGAAGCAAAAAAAGUUUAUUCUGAAGUGGUUCAACUUCUUGGCAGAUGACCAAGUUCUUUAUGUGGUGGCGUAUGUGAUAUCUCAAUACUAGCAGUUUGCAAUUGAUUGAGAUAUGGGUUUGAACCAUUCAUUUGUAGUUUCAUAGAAAAAGCAACAAGAUAGCUUCAUGAAUAUAACCCUUAAAGAGGAGGCAAAGAAGAAAGUUCAAUUGAUGUAUCUUAUUUGGUUCUAUCUACUCAGUAGCCACAUGAGGAAAAAAGGAGAAUAUAUGCAGAUUAAGAAAGUUUUAUAGGAAAAAAAGAGAAUAUAUGCAGAUUAAGAAAGUUCAUUGUGGGUGGAUUUAAAUCGAAUUCUACACACUCUACAUUUGUCAAGUUCUAUACAUAAGAGCAGGAAAAGUUUAUCAUGAAGAGGUUGAACUUUUUGGGAGAUGACCAAGUUUUUAUAUGGUGGCUUCUGUGAUAUCUCAAUAGGAUAUAUCUUCACUUUAAAUUCAUGUCAUAUUGUAUAAUUAAGGGAAAAUUACAAUGACCUCCCCUAAAUUCUAUUGUAAUGACAAAAACACUCCCUCUAAGUUUUUAAUAGGCACAAACCUCCCCUAAAGUCUAUUGAAAUAGACAAACACCUCAACUUUAAACUUACACCGUUUAUUAAUCUGUUGAUUUUAUUAUGAUGAUAAUCUUCCUCCACUGAACCCUUGAAUAUCGUACCAUUGUUGUAACCUUCUCAAAUCAUUUUUCCUAUUUUAACUCUACUAUUAUUAGU